CCUACGGGAGGCUGCAGUGGGGAAUAUUGCACAAUGGCGGAAACCCUGAUGCAGCGACGCCGCGUGAGCGAUGAAGUUCUUCGGUAUGUAAAGCUCUAUCAGCAGGGAAGAAAAUGACGGUACCUGACUAAGAAUCCCCGGCUAACUACGUGCCACCAGCCGCGGUAAUACGGAGGUGGCAAGCGUUGUCCGGAUUUACUGGGUGUAAAGGGCGUGUAGCCGGGUUGACAAGUCAGAUGGGAAAUCCUGCGGGUUAACCGCAGAACUGCAUUUGAAACUGGUGAUCUUGAGUACUGGAGAGGCAGACGGAAUGCCUAGUGUAGCGGUGAAAUGCGUAGAUAUUAGGAGGAACACCAGUGGCGAAGGCGGUCUGCUGGACAGCAACUGACGGUGAGGCGCGAAAGCGUGGGGAGCAAACAGGAUUAGAUACCCCUGUAGUC
RNAcentral lists this ribosomal RNA (440 nucleotides) under uncultured bacterium. Its description in RNAcentral is "partial 16S ribosomal RNA". It matches the Rfam family "Bacterial small subunit ribosomal RNA", at positions 338 to 795 of the family's 1533-position model. The record is from RNAcentral.